UCCUUUGGGUAUCAUGAUUAUGUGAUCUUAUGUUGGUCAUGUACGUUUUGUAUGGCUUGCUAUGUAGUUUUAUGUUAUGUUUUACGUCGGUUGUUUUUGUGUUAAAAUCGAGGACGAUUUUGUUUUUAAGUUGGGGAGAAUGUAAUAACCCGUAUUUUUUUAUAACUUGUUUUGGUGGUUGGUUGUCCGUUUAAAGUUUGGUUUGUGAUGGACUUUGGUUGUGUUUUAACUUCGACUUGUUCUCGUUGUGCUUCCGACUUGUUUUCGGAUUGAUUUAUGUGCGAAUUAGCAUAUGUGGUACCUUGGUUGUGUCAUGUUGAAUGACUUAUGUGUACCCCUUGAACCUUUAAGUAUUUGAUGUUGAAUUGAUUUAUUUCCGGAUUGUUAUCGAAAUAAUGUUUGCAUGUUUUCCAAAUCUGCUAUGCUCUAGUAAAACGUCCAUAUCUCCCAAUUUAACCGUCGGAUCGGGCUACCCUUUGGAUAUGUUGCACCUAAGAGGAUUAUCUUUCAUUCGACCGUUCGGAUCGUCGUUUUGACCUCUUUUCGGGUCAACCGGACCUAUAACCGGACCUGCUGGGUUGAACCGGUCGUAGGUCCGGUCCACUCUGAUUUCUGCAUUGGCAGUGAGUCAACCGGUUCAAUAACCGGUUCUGCUGGACAGAACCGGCCGUAGAACCGGUUCAUUACGGGUUUGCUUAUAAAAACUUCGUUUCUCGACCAAAUCAGCCCCCACUCGUUCCCACAAACCCUAAACUGAUCUCUAAACAUUUAUAGACAAUUCCCAAUCACAUUUUGGUGCCUCAAGACACUUGGUAAGUGUUCUAACAUCCUUUCCAUCAUUCAAUUCAUAGUUUAUGUAAUCGAAUUGUUUGGGUAUUCAUUGGUCCUUCGGUUUUUCAUUGUUGUAGCCAUUAUUCCACUAUUUUUCUGAGUUUUCCUUGCUCUUUUGGAUUGCUAAGACCCGUCGACUGCUCGUGCUUCGGAGUCGGAUCAGGUUUAGUUGCUUGUAAAGUUUUCACGUGGAUUUGCAAGCAGGUUAUGAUAUGAGCGAGUCAGCUGCUCUCCGAUUCUUUAUUUCCUCGGAGGUUUUACUAUAUUUAAUAAGGUUAUUAAACUUAUUUUAUUCUUAGACCGCAGUAGUAAAUAGAAGUCUUAUGUCGAAUACUUGUUAUAAAUUUAUUCACUGAAUUAUUGCUA
This is a long non-coding RNA of Mercurialis annua (annual mercury), 1197 nucleotides long. RefSeq lists it as uncharacterized. NCBI's taxonomy places the organism in Eukaryota, Viridiplantae, Streptophyta, Magnoliopsida, Malpighiales, Euphorbiaceae. The record is from RefSeq and is a predicted model, not a curated record. The transcript has 3 exons.